RNAcentral lists this ribosomal RNA (383 nucleotides) under uncultured Rhodococcus sp. Its description in RNAcentral is "bacterial SSU rRNA". It matches the Rfam family "Bacterial small subunit ribosomal RNA", at positions 1002 to 1382 of the family's 1533-position model. The record is from RNAcentral. Lineage: Bacteria; Bacillati; Actinomycetota; Actinomycetes; Mycobacteriales; Nocardiaceae.
AGAGAUGGAUUGGUGCCUUCGGGAACGUCUGACACAGGUGCUGCAUGGCUGUCGUCAGCUCGUGUCGUGAGAUGUUGGGUUAAGUCCCGCAACGAGCGCAACCCUUGUCUUAUGUUGCCAGCACGUGAUGGUGGGGACUCGUAAGAGACUGCCGGGGUCAACUCGGAGGAAGGUGGGGACGACGUCAAGUCAUCAUGCCCCUUAUGUCCAGGGCUUCACACAUGCUACAAUGGCCAGUACAGAGGGCUGCGAGACCGUGAGGUGGAGCGAAUCCCUUAAAGCUGGUCUCAGUUCGGAUCGGGGUCUGCAACUCGACCCCGUGAAGUCGGAGUCGCUAGUAAUCGCAGAUCAGCAACGCUGCGGUGAAUACGUUCCCGGGCCUU